Molecule: ribosomal RNA, 1110 nt
Filed under: Leucobacter sp. NCCP-1266
Lineage: Bacteria; Bacillati; Actinomycetota; Actinomycetes; Micrococcales; Microbacteriaceae
Description: bacterial SSU rRNA
Rfam family: Bacterial small subunit ribosomal RNA
Source: RNAcentral
GGGGCGGGCGCCGUGCUUACCAUGCAGUCGACGCUGAAGCCCCAGCUUGCUGGGGUGGAUGAGUGGCGAACGGGUGAGUAACACGUGAGUAACCUGCCCAUCACUCUGGGAUAAGCGCUGGAAACGGCGUCUAAUACUGGAUACGAGCAGCGACCGCAUGGUCAGUUGCUGGAAAGACUGGUUCGGUGAUGGAUGGACUCGCGGCCUAUCAGCUUGUUGGUGAGGUAAUGGCUCACCAAGGCGACGACGGGUAGCCGGCCUGAGAGGGUGACCGGCCACACUGGGACUGAGACACGGCCCAGACUCCUACGGGAGGCAGCAGUGGGGAAUAUUGCACAAUGGGCGCAAGCCUGAUGCAGCAACGCCGCGUGAGGGAUGACGGCCUUCGGGUUGUAAACCUCUUUUAGUAGGGAAGAAGCCUUCGGGUGACGGUACCUGCAGAAAAAGCACCGGCUAACUACGUGCCAGCAGCCGCGGUAAUACGUAGGGUGCAAGCGUUGUCCGGAAUUAUUGGGCGUAAAGAGCUCGUAGGCGGCUUGUCGCGUCUGCUGUGAAAACCCGAGGCUCAACCUCGGGCCUGCAGUGGGUACGGGCAAGCUAGAGUGCGGUAGGGGAGAUUGGAAUUCCUGGUGUAGCGGUGGAAUGCGCAGAUAUCAGGAGGAACACCGAUGGCGAAGGCAGAUCUCUGGGCCGUAACUGACGCUGAGGAGCGAAAGCAUGGGGAGCGAACAGGAUUAGAUACCCUGGUAGUCCAUGCCGUAAACGUUGGGAACUAGAUGUAGGGCCUGUUCCACGGGUUCUGUGUCGUAGCUAACGCAUUAAGUUCCCCGCCUGGGGAGUACGGCCGCAAGGCUAAAACUCAAAGGAAUUGACGGGGGCCCGCACAAGCGGCGGAGCAUGCGGAUUAAUUCGAUGCAACGCGAAGAACCUUACCAAGGCUUGACAUAUAGAAGAACGGGUCAGAAAUGAUUCACUCUUUGGACACUUCUAUACAGGUGGCUGCAUGGUUGUCGUCAGCUCGUGUCGUGAGAUGUUCGGAUUAAGUCCGGCAACGAGCGCAACUCUCGUUCCUAUGUUGCCAGCACGUAAUGGUGGGGAACUCAUGGGAUC